CCUACGGGAGCAGCAGUGAGGAAUAUUGGUCAAUGGCCGAGAGGCUGAACCAGCCAAGUCGCGUGAGGGAAGACGGCCCUACGGGUUGUAAACCUCUUUUGUCGGGGAGCAAAGCGAACCACGUGUGGUUCAUUGAGAGUACCCGAAGAAAAAGCAUCGGCUAACUCCGUGCCAGCAGCCGCGGUAAUACGGAGGAUCCAAGCGUUAUCCGGAUUUAUUGGGUUUAAAGGGUGCGUAGGCGGUUUGAUAAGUUAGAGGUGAAAUACCGGUGCUCAACACCGGAACUGCCUCUAAUACUGUUGAACUAGAGAGUAGUUGCGGUAGGCGGAAUGUAUGGUGUAGCGGUGAAAUGCUUAGAGAUCAUACAGAACACCGAUUGCGAAGGCAGCUUACCAAACUAUAUCUGACGUUGAGGCACGAAAGCGUGGGUAGCAAACAGGAUUAGAUACCCGAGUAGUC
RNAcentral lists this ribosomal RNA (459 nucleotides) under uncultured bacterium. RNAcentral describes it as "partial 16S ribosomal RNA". It matches the Rfam family "Bacterial small subunit ribosomal RNA", at positions 338 to 795 of the family's 1533-position model. The record is from RNAcentral.